UUAUGGCCAUAUCAUGUUGAAACACCGGUGCCCAAAUGAUCACUAAAGUUAAACAUGAAGUCUGGUUAAUACUUAGAUGUGUGACUGCUUGGGAAUGCCAGGUGCUGUAAG
This is a non-coding RNA of Acanthosepion pharaonis, 111 nucleotides long. NCBI's taxonomy places the organism in Eukaryota, Metazoa, Mollusca, Cephalopoda, Sepiida, Sepiidae. The record is from the annotation of a GenBank genome assembly.